AGAUUGAACGCUGGCGGCAUGCCUAACACAUGCAAGUCGAACGGGAGUAGCAAUACUCUAGUGGCGGACGGGUGAGGAAUACGUAGGAAUUUGCCCUUAAGUGGGGAAUAACCCGGGGAAACCCGGAUUAAUACCGCAUGACCUCGAAAGAGCAAAGUGGGGGAUCGCAAGACCUCACGCUUUUGGAGAAGCCUACGUCGGAUUAGCUAGUUGGUGAGGUAAUGGCUCACCAAGGCGACGAUCCGUAACUGGUCUGAGAGGAUGAUCAGUCACACCGGACUGAGACACGGUCCGGACUCC
This 300-nucleotide ribosomal RNA is filed under the name uncultured soil bacterium. RNAcentral describes it as "bacterial SSU rRNA". It matches the Rfam family "Bacterial small subunit ribosomal RNA", at positions 26 to 339 of the family's 1533-position model. The record is from RNAcentral.